AACGAACGCUGGCGGCAGGCCUAACACAUGCAAGUCGAACGCUCGUAGCAAUACGAGAGUGGCAGACGGGUGAGUAACACGUGGGAACCUUCCCUUCGGUCGGGAAUAGCUCAGGGAAACUUGAGGUAAUACCGGAUACGCCUUACGGGAAGAUUAUCGCCGAGGAUGGCCCGCGUCGGAUUAGCUAGUUGGUGAGGUAACGGCUCACCAAGGCGACGAUCCGUAGCUGGUCUGAGAGGAUGAUCAGCCACACUGGGACUGAGACACGGCCCAGACUCCUACGGGAGGCAGCAGUGGGGAAUAUUGGACAAUGGGCGCAAGCCUGAUCCAGCCAUGCCGCGUGAGUGACGAA
Molecule: ribosomal RNA, 352 nt
Filed under: uncultured bacterium
Lineage: Bacteria
Description: bacterial SSU rRNA
Rfam family: Bacterial small subunit ribosomal RNA
Source: RNAcentral